This 279-nucleotide ribosomal RNA is filed under the name uncultured bacterium. Its description in RNAcentral is "partial 16S ribosomal RNA". It matches the Rfam family "Bacterial small subunit ribosomal RNA", at positions 506 to 784 of the family's 1533-position model. The record is from RNAcentral.
UGCCAGCCGCCGCGGUAAUACGGAGGGUGCAAGCGUUGUUCGGAAUUACUGGGCGUAAAGCGCGUGUAGGCGGCUGCGCAAGUCGGAUGUGAAAUCCCAGGGCCCAACCCUGGAACUGCAUCCGAAACUGCGUAGCUAGAGUCUCGGAGAGGAUGGCGGAAUUUCCGGUGUAGAGGUGAAAUUCGUAGAUAUCGGAAGGAACACCAGUGGCGAAGGCGGCCAUCUGGACGAUGACUGACGCUGAGACGCGAAAGCGUGGGGAGCAAACAGGAUUAGAUA